Molecule: non-coding RNA, 300 nt
Organism: Pelobates cultripes (western spadefoot toad)
Lineage: Eukaryota; Metazoa; Chordata; Amphibia; Anura; Pelobatidae
Source: the annotation of a GenBank genome assembly
GCAGGGUGGCCACCCAGUUAUCAGCACAAGUUAGAAUGUGGUCAACUAGGCAGUCGUUGCGCAGGCACUUUGGUGACUCUAGAUAACUUCGGGCUGAUCUCACGUCCCUGUGACGGCAACGACGCAUUCGGAUGUUUGCCCUAUCAACUUUCGAUAGUACUUUCUGCGUCUACCAUGGUGUCCACGGAUAACUGUGAAUCAGGGUUCGAUUCUGGAGAGGGAGCCUGAGAAAUGGCUACAACAUCCAAGGAAGGUAGCAGGCGCGCAAAUUACCCACUCCCGACACGGGGAGGUAGUGAC